This 1125-nucleotide ribosomal RNA is filed under the name Burkholderia sp. SD1707. RNAcentral's name for it is "bacterial SSU rRNA". It matches the Rfam family "Bacterial small subunit ribosomal RNA", at positions 96 to 1220 of the family's 1533-position model. Lineage: Bacteria; Pseudomonadati; Pseudomonadota; Betaproteobacteria; Burkholderiales; Burkholderiaceae. The record is from RNAcentral.
UGGCGAACGGGUGAGUAAUACAUCGGAACGUAUCCUGUAGUGGGGGAUAGCCCGGCGAAAGCCGGAUUAAUACCGCAUACGACCUGGGGGGAGAAAGCGGGGGAUCUUCGGACCUCGCGCUAUAGGGGCGGCCGAUGGCAGAUUAGCUAGUUGGUGGGGUAAAGGCCUACCAAAGCGACGAUCUGUAGCUGGUCUGAGAGGACGACCAGCCACACUGGGACUGAGACACGGCCCAGACUCCUACGGGAGGCAGCAGUGGGGAAUUUUGGACAAUGGGCGAAAGCCUGAUCCAGCAAUGCCGCGUGUGUGAAGAAGGCCUUCGGGUUGUAAAGCACUUUUGUCCGGAAAGAAAACUUCGGGGCUAAUACCCCCCGGAGGAUGACGGUACCGGAAGAAUAAGCACCGGCUAACUACGUGCCAGCAGCCGCGGUAAUACGUAGGGUGCGAGCGUUAAUCGGAAUUACUGGGCGUAAAGCGUGCGCAGGCGGUUUGUUAAGACCGAUGUGAAAUCCCCGGGCUUAACCUGGGAACUGCAUUGGUGACUGGUAGGCUUUGAGUGUGGCAGAGGGAGGUAGAAUUCCACGUGUAGCAGUGAAAUGCGUAGAGAUGUGGAGGAAUACCGAUGGCGAAGGCAGCCUCCUGGGUCAACACUGACGCUCAUGCACGAAAGCGUGGGGAGCAAACAGGAUUAGAUACCCUGGUAGUCCACGCCCUAAACGAUGUCAACUAGUUGUUGGGGAUUCGUUUCCUUAGUAACGUAGCUAACGCGUGAAGUUGACCGCCUGGGGAGUACGGUUGCAAGAUUAAAACUCAAAGGAAUUGACGGGGACCCGCACAAGCGGUGGAUGAUGUGGAUUAAUUCGAUGCAACGCGAAAAACCUUACCUACCCUUGACAUGGUCGGAAUCCUGCUGAAAGGUGGGGGUGCUCGAAAGAGAACCGGCGCACAGGUGCUGCAUGGCUGUCGUCAGCUCGUGUCGUGAGAUGUUGGGUUAAGUCCCGCAACGAGCGCAACCCUUGUCCUUAGUUGCUACGCAAGAGCACUCUAAGGAGACUGCCGGUGACAAACCGGAGGAAGGUGGGGAUGACGUCAAGUCCUCAUGGCCCUUAUGGGUAGGGCUUCACA